Molecule: long non-coding RNA, 3389 nt
Organism: Pongo pygmaeus (Bornean orangutan)
Lineage: Eukaryota; Metazoa; Chordata; Mammalia; Primates; Hominidae
Exons: 2
Source: RefSeq, a predicted model, not a curated record
UUUACUUUGUUUUACUUUGGUUUAAUUUGGUUUACAUUGGUUUAAUUUGUUCUUCUUUUACUAUUUUUUUUACUGAAUCAUCAUUAUUGUUCUACCACUCGAAUCACUGCAUUGCUGUUGCUAAAUGACCAAUAGACCAACAGAUCCUUGCAUAGAAACAAAAAAAGCCCUUGCUUUUCAGUAUUACCAAAGGGAAAUGUAUAGUCAGAACUGCAAGAAAACUGCCUUGUGAUCCGGCUUUUGUCACAUUUUAGUUUACAAUACAUGAGCAUAAAGUAGCUACUCAACUACCUCGAACAUAAGAGAAUCAUUUACCUUUCUGCAUAUAACCUAAUUAAAACCAUAUCAGAUCCAGCAAAACUGAUUUUCAUCUCUCCUCAGUAGAUAUAGGAGUAUAUAUUAAUAUUUCUACUUCAUGACUAGAUAGGGGACUAAAUUAAAAUUCUCUACUCAGUUCUCAGUUGUAAGGCCCACAGUUGCACAUGGGUAGGAGGGUAGUUGCACGUGCACAGAGUUGGUGGUCACAACUCUGCUUUCUUGCCCUUCUCCUUAACAUGGAGCUAUUUAAUCUUAUUUAUUUAUUUAUUUAUUUAGAAAUAGGGUCUGGCUCUGUCACCUUGACUGGAGUACAGUGGCACAAUCAUGGCUCACUGCAGCCUAGAACUCCUGGGCUCAAGUGAUGUUCCCACCUUAGCCUCCCGAGUAGCUGGGACUAUAGACACACACAACCAUGCUCUGCCAAUUUUGAAAUUUUUUGUAGAAAUGAGGUCUCCCUAUGUUGCCCAGGCUGGUCUUGAACUCCUGGCCUCAAGCAGUCCUCCCACCUCAGCCUGCCAAGUGCUAGGAUUACAGGCAAGAGCCACAGCGCCAGGCUGGAACUAUGUAAGAUAGCACUUAGCCCUGCAUGUACGUGUUACUAACAAUGGUUGUGUAGAUCACUCCUCCAAAGGGAAAGUCUCUCUAGAUGGGUUUUUGCCCCAAUUAAGCAAUAGCUUCCUCCAAACGGUGCUCACCUAUCCAUUGACUGGGAUAUUUGAAGACAAAGUGAGUCUUCACUCAUCGUCACCAUUCCCUAUGUCCCCUUUCCCUGGGAGCACACACACUUAGGAAGGCAGUGCUGCUUCCUCCACAGCCGGCCAGGAUUUGUGAAAUGUCUCUCAAGGAAAUGUGCUCUCUUCCAUGCUCAGAGACGCCACGUGGUCACAGUGCAGUCUUCAUGCAGUUGUAGCUUAGACUUCCAGAUUCAAAGGUCAGAAACCAGCUUGGAAUUUUCCUGGUCCUAACUCAAACCUGGCAUAAGUCAAAGUUGAAAUCCAACAGGUUCCAAAGGAAAUCAGAUUAAACACAUGUGCUGCUUGGUCAUGCAAGGACCCUGGAGUAGAGAAGUAGGUAUUGCCGUCUUGGUCAUGAAAGCCACAACAUCACCUGCAAGAGGACAGGCACUUAGUUCUAUUCACUGCUGUGCCCUCAACUCCUGGAAUAAGACCUGGUACAGUGUGAUCAGAAAAUAUUUAUUGAGUGUCAGGUACAGUGGCUCAUGCCUGUAAUCCUAACACAUUGGAAGACCAAGGUGGGAGGAUCACUUGAGCCCAGGAGUUUGAGACCAGCCUGGGUGACACAGGGAGACCCUAUCUCUAUAAAAAAUAAACUUAAAAAAAAUUGGGCGGGGCACAAUGGCUCACGCCUGUAAUCCCAGCUCUUUGGGAAACUGAAGCAGAUGGAUCAUCAGAGGUCAGGAGUUCGAGACCAGCCUGGCCAACAUGGUGAAACCCCCAUCUCUACUAAAAAUACAAAAAUUAGCCGGGCGUGGUGGUGGGCACCUGUAAUCCCAGCUACUCAGGAGGCUGAGGUAGGAGAAUCACUUGAACCCAAGAGGUGGAGGUUGCAGUGAGGCGAGAUUGCACCACUGCACUCCAGCCUGGGCGACAGAGUGAGACUUGGUCUACACGCUUUGUAAUCUAAAACAUUCUCUACCAAUACCUCAAUCAGUGAAUUCUUGCUUUAUUGAUACAUUCUAGUAUUCAGUCGUGAUUUUAAUAUGCUAUUUUGGUACUUUCUGCUUUCAGUUUUCAUUGCUGUGGGUAUUGCCUUAAACAGAAACAAAAAACUAAAACAAUUUUACAACCAUCCAAAAGAGGCUUGGAAACUUUUUUUUGGCUAGAUAUCCAUAGCACAAUUUAAUUCAGUAAACAUAAACAGUUAAAAUUAUUCCAGUACACAACCAUGUUUUAAAAAAGAGCUUACACCCAAUUUUGGCAACAACACCCAGGAAAUAAGCAUUCUUUUACAUUUGGUUCAAACUUUCUGAAUGGCAGUUGUGCAACACUUGUUGUGAAAAACUUUAGAAUAUUAUUAACAUGUUAAUCCCAUAUUUCCAUUUCUGUGAAUUCAUCCAAAAGAAAUAACCAUGGAUAUGGGUAGAGACAGAGCCAUAUGGAAUGCACACCGCAGUGGAGAACACAUGGCCCAGCUCUGCCAUCAAGGAAAAGGAACAUGAAUGGAGCUGGAGGCCAUCAUCCUUAGUAAACUAACACAGGAGCAGAAAACCAAAUACCACAUGUUCUCACUUGUAAGUGGGAGCUAAAUGAUGAGAACACAUGGACACAAAGAGGGGAACAACAGACACUGAAGCCUCCUUGAGGGAGGAGGGUAAGAGGAAGGAGAAGAUCAGAAAAGAUAACUACCAGGUACUAUGGUAGCUUAGUACCUGGGUGAUGAAAUAAUCUGUACACCCAACCCCCAUGACACAAGUUUACCUAUGUAACAAACCUGCACAUGUAUCCCUGAAACUAAAAGUUUUUUAAAAAGUUAUUUAAUAUAUAUAUAUUUUUUUUUUUUUUUUUUUUUUUUGAGAUGGAGUUUUGCUCUUGUUGCCCAGGCUGGAGUGCGGUGGUGCAAUCUCGGCUCACCACAACCUCCACCUCCCAGGUUCAAGCGAUUCCCCUGCCUCAGCCUCCCUAGUAGCUGGGAUUAUAGGCUUGUGCCACCACGCCCAGCUAAUUUUGUAUUUUUUUUAGUAGAGACGGGGUUUCUCCAUGUUGGUCAGGCUGGUCUCGAACUCCCGACCUCAGGUGAUCCACCCGCCUCGGCCUCCCAAAGUGCUAGGAUUACAGGCAUGAGCCACUGCACCCGGCAAAAAGUUAUUUAAUAUUAAUGGGACAAUACUCAUUGCAAGAAUCAAACUUCAAUUGCUAGCAUAAGUAAAUGACAGGCAGGAGAUAUUGAAAAUGCAAUCUUAUAGACAUUCAAGGAGAGGACGCAGGACAUUUCUGUGUCAUAAAUGUACUAUGGAAAAUAAAAAUGAGAAAAAUUGAAAUAAAAUACAAGAAAAGGUUAUGAUGAUAAAUUUCAUAUUAUUUUACCACAAUAAAAAAAAUUUUAAUUAUAAA